CGAAUCGCAUGGCCUUGCGCCGGCGAUGGUUCAUUCAAAUUUCUGCCCUAUCAACUUUCGAUGGCAGGGUCUUGGCCUGCCAUGGUUACAACGGGUAACGGAGGGUUAGGGCUCGACCCCGGAGAAGGAGCCUGAGAAACGGCUACUACAUCCAAGGAAGGCAGCAGGCGCGCAAAUUACCCAAUCCCGAUUCGGGGAGGUAGUGACAAUAAAUACUGAUACAGGGCUCUUUUGGGUCUUGUAAUUGGAAUGAGUACAAUUUAAAUCCCUUAACGAGGAACAAUUGGAGGGCAAGUCUGGUGCCAGCAGCCGCGGUAAUUCCAGCUCCAAUAGCGUAUAUUAAAGUUGUUGCAGUUAAAAAGCUCGUAGUUGAACCUUGGGCCUGGCUGGCCGGUCCGCCUCACCGCGUGCACUGGUUCGGCCGGGCCUUUCCCUCUGGGGAACCCUAUGGUCUUCACUGAUGUAGCGGGGAACCAGGACUUUUACUGUGAAAAAAUUAGAGUGUUCAAAGCAGGCCUAUGCUCGAAUACAUUAGCAUGGAAUAAUAAAAUAGGACGUGUGGUUCUAUUUUGUUGGUUUCUAGGACCGCCGUAAUGAUUAAUAGGGACAGUCGGGGGCAUCAGUAUUCAAUUGUCAGAGGUGAAAUUCUUGGAUUUAUUGAAGACUAACUACUGCGAAAGCAUUUGCCAAGGAUGUUUUCAUUAAUCAGGAACGAAAGUUAGGGGAUCGAAGACGAUCAGAUACCGUCGUAGUCUUAACCAUAAACUAUGCCGACUAGGGAUCGGACGGUGUUAUUUUUUGACCCGUUCGGCACCUUACGAGAAAUCAAAGUC
This 833-nucleotide ribosomal RNA is filed under the name Hyalotiella spartii. Its description in RNAcentral is "SSU rRNA". It matches the Rfam family "Eukaryotic small subunit ribosomal RNA", at positions 260 to 1105 of the family's 1831-position model. The record is from RNAcentral. Lineage: Eukaryota; Fungi; Ascomycota; Sordariomycetes; Amphisphaeriales; Sporocadaceae.